This 1094-nucleotide ribosomal RNA is filed under the name uncultured Gammaproteobacteria bacterium. RNAcentral's name for it is "bacterial SSU rRNA". It matches the Rfam family "Bacterial small subunit ribosomal RNA", at positions 9 to 1100 of the family's 1533-position model. The record is from RNAcentral. Lineage: Bacteria; Pseudomonadati; Pseudomonadota; Gammaproteobacteria.
GAGUUUGAUCCUGGCUCAGAUUGAACGCUGGCGGCAGGCCUAACACAUGCAAGUCGAGCGGUAACAGAUCCAGCUUGCUGGAUGCUGACGAGCGGCGGACGGGUGAGUAAUGCAUAGGAAUCUGCCCGAUAGUGGGGGAUAACCUGGGGAAACCCAGGCUAAUACCGCAUACGUCCUACGGGAGAAAGGGGGCUCCGGCUCCCGCUAUGGGAUGAGCCUAUGUCGGAUUAGCUAGUUGGUGAGGUAACGGCUCACCAAGGCCGCGAUCCGUAGCUGGUCUGAGAGGAUGAUCAGCCACAUCGGGACUGAGACACGGCCCGAACUCCUACGGGAGGCAGCAGUGGGGAAUAUUGGACAAUGGGGGCAACCCUGAUCCAGCCAUGCCGCGUGUGUGAAGAAGGCCCUCGGGUUGUAAAGCACUUUCAGCGAGGAAGAACGCCUAGCGGUUAAUACCCGCUAGGAAAGACAUCACUCGCAGAAGAAGCACCGGCUAACUCCGUGCCAGCAGCCGCGGUAAUACGGAGGGUGCAAGCGUUAAUCGGAAUUACUGGGCGUAAAGCGCGCGUAGGUGGCUUGAUAAGCCGGUUGUGAAAGCCCCGGGCUCAACCUGGGAACGGCAUCCGGAACUGUCAAGCUAGAGUGCAGGAGAGGAAGGUAGAAUUCCCGGUGUAGCGGUGAAAUGCGUAGAGAUCGGGAGGAAUACCAGUGGCGAAGGCGGCCUUCUGGACUGACACUGACACUGGGGUGCGAAAGCGUGGGUAGCAAACAGGAUUAGAUACCCUGGUAGUCCACGCCGUAAACGAUGUCGACCAGCCGUUGGGUGCCUAGCGCACUUUGUGGCGAAGUUAACGCGAUAAGUCGACCGCCUGGGGAGUACGGCCGCAAGGUUAAAACUCAAAUGAAUUGACGGGGGCCCGCACAAGCGGUGGAGCAUGUGGUUUAAUUCGAUGCAACGCGAAGAACCUUACCUACUCUUGACAUCCUGCGAAUUUGGUAGAGAUACCUUAGUGCCUUCGGGAACGCAGAGACAGGUGCUGCAUGGCUGUCGUCAGCUCGUGUUGUGAAAUGUUGGGUUAAGUCCCGUAACGAGCGCA